CACGUAGGGCGCAAGCGUUGUCCGGAAUUAUUGGGCGUAAAGAGCUCGUAGGCGGUCUGUUGCGUCCGCUGUGAAAACUCGGGGCUUAACCCCGAGCCUGCAGUGGAUACGGGCAGACUAGAGGUAGGUAGGGGAGAAUGGAAUUCCCGGUGUAGCGGUGAAAUGCGUAGAUAUCUGCAGGAACACCCGUGGCGAAAGCGGCGCGCUGGACCACUACUGACGCUGAGGAACGAGAGCUAGGGGAGCAAACAGG
Molecule: ribosomal RNA, 253 nt
Filed under: uncultured prokaryote
Description: partial 16S ribosomal RNA
Rfam family: Bacterial small subunit ribosomal RNA
Source: RNAcentral